RNAcentral lists this ribosomal RNA (262 nucleotides) under uncultured bacterium. RNAcentral describes it as "partial 16S ribosomal RNA". It matches the Rfam family "Bacterial small subunit ribosomal RNA", at positions 333 to 587 of the family's 1533-position model. The record is from RNAcentral.
UGUUGCCUACGGGGCGCAGCAGUAGGGAAUCUUCCACAACGGACGAAAGUCUGAUGGAGCAACGCCGCGUGAGUGAAGAAGGGUUUCGGCUCGUAAAGCUCUGUUGGUAGUGAAGAAAGAUAGAGGUAGUAACUGGCCUUUAUUUGACGGUAAUUACUUAGAAAGUCACGGCUAACUACGUGCCAGCAGCCGCGGUAAUACGUAUGGGGCAAGCGUUAUCCGGAUUUACUGGGUGUAAAGGGAGCGCAGGGGGCUUGGCAAG